Molecule: ribosomal RNA, 468 nt
Filed under: uncultured bacterium
Lineage: Bacteria
Description: partial 16S ribosomal RNA
Rfam family: Bacterial small subunit ribosomal RNA
Source: RNAcentral
GACGAACGCUGGCGGCGUGCUUAACACAUGCAAGUCGAACGGAAAGGCCCUGCUUUUGUGGGGUGCUCGAGUGGCGAACGGGUGAGUAACACGUGAGUAACCUGCCCUUGACUUUGGGAUAACUUCAGGAAACUGGGGCUAAUACCGGAUAGGAGCUCCUGCUGCAUGGUGGGGGUUGGAAAGUUUCGGCGGUUGGGGAUGGACUCGCGGCUUAUCCGCUUGUUGGUGGGGUAGUGGCUUACCAAGGCUUUGACGGGUAGCCGGCCUGAGAGGGUGACCGGCCCCAUUGGGCCUGCGAUACGGCCCAGACUCCUACGUGAGGCAGCAGUGGGGAAUAUUGCACAAUGGGCGGAAGCCUGAUGCAGCAACGCCGCGUGCGGGAUGACGGCCUUCGGGUUGUAAACCGCUUUCGCCUGUGACGAAGCGUGAGUGACGGUAAUGGGUAAAGAAGCACCGGCUAACUACGUG